RNAcentral lists this ribosomal RNA (253 nucleotides) under uncultured bacterium. RNAcentral describes it as "partial 16S ribosomal RNA". It matches the Rfam family "Bacterial small subunit ribosomal RNA", at positions 524 to 776 of the family's 1533-position model. The record is from RNAcentral.
UACGUAGGUGACAAGCGUUGUCCGGAUUUACUGGGCGUAAAGAGCGCGCAGGCGGUCGUUCAAGUCGAGUGUGAAAGCCCCCGGCUCAACUGGGGAGGGUCACUCGAUACUGAUCGACUCGAAGGCAGGAGAGGGAAGUGGAAUUCCCGGUGUAGUGGUGAAAUGCGUAGAUAUCAGGAGGAACACCGGUGGCGAAGGCGGGUCUCUGGGCCGAUACUGACGCUGAGGAGCGAAAGCGUGGGGAGCGAACAGG